AGCCUUUACAUACACUCAUUUUAACUUAUUAAAAAUUAACUGGUCAUUUAAUACAGUGAAUACCCCAACAUGGAUUCAUAAGUCAUUAUUAACUACUACAAAUACCCCGACAUGGAUUCAUAAGUCAUUAUUAACUACUACAAAUACCCCGACAUGGAUUCAUAAUCAUUAUUAACUACUACAAAUGCCCCAUCAUAAGUCAUUAACUACUACAAAUACCCCAUCAUAAUAG
This is a long non-coding RNA of Oncorhynchus keta (chum salmon), 232 nucleotides long. RefSeq lists it as uncharacterized. The record is from RefSeq and is a predicted model, not a curated record. NCBI's taxonomy places the organism in Eukaryota, Metazoa, Chordata, Actinopteri, Salmoniformes, Salmonidae. The transcript is spliced from 2 exons.